GAACGGGUGAGUAACGCGUGAGGAACCUGCCUCAAAGAGGGGGACAACAGUUGGAAACGACUGCUAAUACCGCAUAAGCCCACGACCCGGCAUCGGGAAGAGGGAAAAGGAGCAAUCCGCUUUGAGAUGGCCUCGCGUCCGAUUAGCUAGUUGGUGAGGUAACGGCCCACCAAGGCGACGAUCGGUAGCCGGACUGAGAGGUUGAACGGCCACAUUGGGACUGAGACACGGCCCAGACUCCUACGGGAGGCAGCAGUGGGGAAUAUUGCACAAUGGGGGAAACCCUGAUGCAGCGACGCCGCGUGGAGGAAGAAGGUCUUCGGAUUGUAAACUCCUGUUGUUGAGGAAGAUAAUGACGGUACUCAACAAGGAAGUGACGGCUAACUACGUGCCAGCAGCCGCGGUAAAACGUAGGUCACAAGCGUUGUCCGGAAUUACUGGGUGUAAAGGGAGCGCAGGCGGGAAGACAAGUUGGAAGUGAAAUCCAUGGGCUCAACCCAUGAACUGCUUUCAAAACUGUUUUUCUUGAGUAGUGCAGAGGUAGGCGGAAUUCCCGGUGUAGCGGUGGAAUGCGUAGAUAUCGGGAGGAACGCCAGUGGCGAAGGCGGCCUACUGGGCACCAACUGACGCUGAGGCUCGAAAGUGUGGGUAGCAAACAGGAUUAGAUACCCUGGUAGUCCACACCGUAAACGAUGAUUACUAGGUGU
RNAcentral lists this ribosomal RNA (707 nucleotides) under uncultured bacterium. RNAcentral describes it as "bacterial SSU rRNA". It matches the Rfam family "Bacterial small subunit ribosomal RNA", at positions 100 to 823 of the family's 1533-position model. The record is from RNAcentral.